AUGAUGAGGUACGAGCUCAUCAAAGUCGAUGGGAAGCCGGUCAGGGAUUCCACCGGGAAGAAGCUACUCUUGAGAGAUCAGUUGGGGAAUGAUGUAUUCAUUGAUGAGGCGCUCAUCUCUUUCGAACCUGAAGCUCCACAAGAAGCUCCCAAUUCAACUUUGCAAAAAAAAUCAGCAGAGACGAAACAAAAUGCAGAAGUUGAAGAGAAAUUUUGGAGCAGAAAUUUAGCAAAGCCCGAAGAGUUUAAUUCUCUCCCGGUCAAAAAUGUCCAAGAACUCCUCAUAAAAAUAUUCGGAGAUCCAAAAAUCCAACAAUUAUUUAAGGAUACCGUAACCCGUAAGAGUAAGGUUUGGGAGCUUGUAGCGGAAAGUUUGCAGAAAGCCGGAUACCCUUUGACACAAAAAGGACCAAGAUCACCCGGCAAACAAUGCGAUGAUAAAUGGAGACAGCUAAAAGCUCAGUAUUACAAACACAAGAAUCCCAAGACUGGGGAAGGGGCCAAAACUCCACUGCCUUACUAUGACCUAGUGGAUUCAAUCAUAGGAGAUGAUCAACUAACUUCACCCAAGCAUACCAGAGAUACACUGAACUCUUCAAACAAUUCUAGGAGCAGUGAAACAGCUGCAGCACCGUCUCCAAGUAACAGUGUCGAACAACCUCAACAGAACUUGUUUGGUGAGUCUGAUUCUGAGGAAGAUGCUGAUACACCUCCUGAUCCCCAAACUACGGCUGAGGUAGAUCAUGCAGGAUCAUCGAACUCUAAUAUUCACAAAGGUAGAGGUAAGAAACGUUUAAAACCUGUGACUGGCAAUCAAAGAGUCAUGAUUGAAAUGAUGGAAAAAAAGCAAAGAUGA
Molecule: long non-coding RNA, 855 nt
Filed under: Bemisia tabaci
Lineage: Eukaryota; Metazoa; Arthropoda; Insecta; Hemiptera; Aleyrodidae
Description: lncRNA ENSSSA1UGG009971
Source: RNAcentral